Perca fluviatilis (European perch) is the source of this 860-nucleotide long non-coding RNA. RefSeq lists it as uncharacterized. Lineage: Eukaryota; Metazoa; Chordata; Actinopteri; Perciformes; Percidae. The record is from RefSeq and is a predicted model, not a curated record. The transcript is spliced from 3 exons.
UGAGCGAAGAGAUGAGGCUACUGAUUAUCUUCUGUGUCGAUGUGGCUGGUUCCAUCCUGCUUAGCAUCGGUGGCUACAGCUGCAUGAAGUGCAUUUCACGCUGCAAUAAAAGGAAAAAGGAAAUUACGAACAAUCAUGGAGGAGCACGUACUGAGGUUAUAUAUUCACAGAAAAAGCAGAAGGAGUCUGAGGAACACCCGACACCUCCAGUCCUAGAAGGUGAAGUCUACGUCAAAUGCAUCUAUGCUAAGGGCCGGGGGGGCCACCAAGGCCAGUGCCUAUACACCCCUACAAGGUUGGCAGAGUACGGCUGUUAAGGGUAUCAUCUCCAAACAACUGAAGGAAGCGGCCGGCAAAUAUAGCAACUUCUGUCAACACAUCUCAUCUACUGGAAGAAGAAACUACACUUUAGUCACCUAACACAUAAUUGAAUUUGGCCAUACAGCACAACACCUAUUUGAAUUCAAUUGUUAGUUCAGAAAACUCACUAGAAAAAAAAUGGAGAGUGAUCCAUUUGAUUCUGCAAAAUAAUAAGUCCUUAGGCUAUAUAUAAGCAUCACAUAGUCAAUAAGUAGCUGGGACAAAGACGAAGACUUGGAGGACGCGCACUGAGGAAUCAACGAAUCAAUAGAAAUUGAGACUUUGAAACACUAGGUGCUGCAUGACCUUCGUUAUCAACUGUGUAAUUCAUGUAAUUUCCAUGUUUGUAAAGGUUCAUAUUAGCUUGCUAAAUAUACAUUAUCACCAAAAACAGCAUAUUCUGCAUUGAAUAUAGGUCUUAAACCUAUGAGUGAUUGGUUAUAUAUUAUCUGUGUGACAAAAGUAUAAUUAAUAUAGUUUAAAGUUUAUUUCAUUUUAGU